Molecule: ribosomal RNA, 303 nt
Filed under: bacterium AB2006
Lineage: Bacteria
Description: bacterial SSU rRNA
Rfam family: Bacterial small subunit ribosomal RNA
Source: RNAcentral
ACGACUGCUAAUACCGCAUAAGCGCACAGCUUCGCAUGAAGUAGUGUGAAAAGAUUUUUCGGUACAAGAUGGACCCGCGUCUGAUUAGCUAGUUGGUGAGGUAACGGCCCACCAAGGCGACGAUCAGUAGCCGACCUGAGAGGGUGACCGGCCACAUUGGGACUGAGACACGGCCCAAACUCCUACGGGAGGCAGCAGUGGGGAAUAUUGCACAAUGGGCGAAAGCCUGAUGCAGCGACGCCGCGUGAGCGAAGAAGUAUUUCGGUAUGUAAAGCUCUAUCAGCAGGGAAGAUAAUGACGUAC